CCAGAAAAGCUUUUAAUAUGUUUGCUGGCUUAACCAUAAAAGCAAAGCAAAUUGUUCUUGAGAUCUUCAAAGCAGGCGUGCAGGUUUCACCAGUUCUUCCGCUUGCCCUGGGCAGGUCUGCAAGUCUGCUGGAACCUGGCACACAGCGGCCCUCCUGCCCAGCCACCCAGUUCCUGAGCUUCCUCUCCAUGCAAGAGUCCACUUGUAAAACAAACAACAGGCUUGGAAUUGUUCCUCCCCUUCACCACCAAAUAGAGACAGAUCUCUGCGGGUGGAGGACCCUUACCAAAGUAGUUGGAGGGGAUGCCUUAGGUCACACGACUUUCUUCUAAAAGACUCUGGUUAUAUAGGAGUCCUAUAUGGCUAAAAGGACUUCUCUUGUUUGUCCUGGAUGUGACAUCAAGUUUAAAAAAAAUCUCACUCCCGUUCAGGAGCCUGGCAACCAUGCAUUACCCAACAACGGUUACCAUGGCUGCAAGGAGGAAGCAGACAGCAAGCCCACAGAAGUGUGUAUUGAAGAAAGGGAAGUCAAUAGCUCCUGGAGUUAACAAGUGACUGUUAUUUACGGAAGGAAUGGUAUUUGCAGAUGGGAAUGACUGCAAAAUGCAUAGAAGGACACAGCCAUGCCCUUUCCACGGAAGUCACAGAACACACCUCGACACACUGAGAAGACGUCCACGACAGGGAAAGAUGACGAAGGUCUCCUUUCUUCCACAUUGUAGGAGAUUUUCUGCCAUAAAGUCAUUAUAUUCUAUAGUUGUUUACGUCCUCGGCAUUUGGAGAUAGCUUUUCUCGUGAAGUGAAGACUGGCUCAGAUUGUUUGAUUAACUGCAAGAAUUGUGGCAAUGGGAGGAAGAAUUCAUGAAGGAUGCCUCCCUUACCUGUAUAGAGUUGUUUUCAUUGAUAAAUGGUUGUGAUCCGUAAAAUUGCAGAUAUCGACAUUUAUUUAAGGAGAAUGAGCUGUAUUUGGGCAGAUUUGGCUUUGAAUUCUGUCUCUACCUCUUAGAGACUAUGUGACAAUUGUUACUUAAUGUCUGAGUCUCAAAUUUCUCGUCCUGUAAACUGAACAUAACACUUACACUGAAUGUCAUGCUUACAUUACAGGAUGUCCAUGUUCUUCUAAUCGUGCCUUUCUAGUUUCUGUAUUCUCUGAUGUUUUGACUUCUGGGGUCUUGCUGAUCCUGGAGAGACUCCCCCUCCCAGGGCUGGUCAGUUCCUAGUAGUAGUAAGUAUGCCUUUUGUAUGCAAGCCACCAAUCCAAAGCCCAUUCCCCCAGUGACCCCCUUUAUCUAGCUCUCACUUGCAGAGCCACUAUCCCCCUGCCCUAAUCACCCCAGGGACAGAUAUUAAACAACUAGAAAUAGCCACGAUGCCCUAGACCCCGGUGAAAUUACUUAAAAUGGAUAGUACUACACCUGCUUGCCUGCCCUACAUUUCCCCCUCACAAUCCAUAAUAAAGUCUCUUGCCCACAUUUUCUUCUCAUUCCCUCUGCCUCCCAACUCAUCCUGGCGCUUCCCCACGUGGCCCUGCUUGGCAUGGUGUGACCUCCGCUUUUGAACUGUGAGUACACACUCUCUACAUAAUGGCAGUCAUCUCUUGACCCAUUUCCCUCACCAUACCCGAAUAAUAAUAAAACCUACUGUCUCAGCCUAUUUGGGCUGCUAUAACAAAAUACUAUAGACUGAGUGGCUUAAACAGUAAGUAUUUAUUUCUCACACUUCUGGAGGCAGGGGAGUUCACAGUCAAGGCACUGAAGGACUCAGUGUCUGCUGAGAACCUGCUUUCUGGCUCAUGGGCAACCAGCUUUUCUCUGUGGCUGAAAGAAGCCAAAGCACUCUCUAAGGUCUCUUUUAUAAUAGCACUAAUCUGUUCACAGGGCCUCCAUCCUCGUGAUGUAGGUGGAACCCUGGUGAAUAACCUCACCUCUGAACGCCAUCACAUUGGGGGUUAGGACUGUGAUACAUACUCUUGGAGGAGACACACACAUUCAAUCCACAACACUCAUGAUGUAAAAACACAUGCCUCAAUCUCUGGAACCUGUGAAUAUUACCCUGUAUGGCAAAAGAGACUUCACAGGUGUGAAGAAAACAUGAAUCUUGAGAUGGGAGAUUAUCUUGGGUUAGCCAGGUGGGCCUGGUGUGAUCACGAGGAUCCUUAGAAGGGGGAGGCAGGAGAUCAGCAUGAGUAGCAGAGGAGGGUGAGGCCACAAGCCAAGGAAUGCUGAUGGCUUCUAGAAGCUGGAAGAGGCGGGGAAUGAAUUCUCCCCUGGAACCUUCGGAAGGAAUCAACACUGCCAACACCUUAAUAGUAGUCCUGUAAGGCCUAUUUCUGGCACUCUGACCUCCAGAACUGUGAUAAUAAAUGUGUGUUGUUUUGAGCCAC
Molecule: long non-coding RNA, 2383 nt
Filed under: Macaca mulatta (Rhesus monkey)
Lineage: Eukaryota; Metazoa; Chordata; Mammalia; Primates; Cercopithecidae
Description: lncRNA (ENSMMUG00000061930.1)
Source: RNAcentral